GCAGGAAGUAAACAUGCACUUGGCAAAACCAAUAAGAAAGAAUUAAGAUUUUAAAAACAGGAUUACAGUUGCGUUUUCUGGAACCCAAUCUGAGCAGCUGAGCCCAUCUGUGGCUAAAGGUUAGUUCUGAGGACGGUUUAUUGCCAGAUGCCGCUUAGGGCCGAGAGACCUGUGGGUCUUGGGCUCCGGGGCGUGCUCCUCUCCACUCCCGAGCUGACCAACACAUGCAACCGAAGGAACGACUCCAGCGAGACAUGCUCCUCUUGCAAAAAAAAAAUCUAUUGCUGACUUGCUUACUGAUUUACUUACUGACUGGCUGGUUCAACCUCCACCCCAUCUCCUGUUCUUUGC
This 351-nucleotide long non-coding RNA is filed under the name Canis lupus dingo (dingo). Its description in RNAcentral is "lncRNA (ENSCAFG00020004834.1)". Lineage: Eukaryota; Metazoa; Chordata; Mammalia; Carnivora; Canidae. The record is from RNAcentral.